CCUACCUACAGCCCCCUCCAGACUGUAUAACCCUAUGUCCUGUCUCCUAGGGGUCAGCCUGGGAGCUCUGUGAGGGUGAGACCCGGUCCUUCCAUCAGAGUCCCCAGCAGCUGAUCCAGACAGCGUGCACCCUGCCUCAAUGCUGUGAGACAUUUCAAAGAAUGAAAAGAGCAUCACUUUGGAGCUGCAUGUGUUUGGCAUCUAUCACGAUCACCCUGAAGGUGGGGUCUGCAUUUGAGUCUUGCUGGCUCCCCAGUUCCUAGCAGAAACCCAGCAUGUGGAGGUGGUCAGCAAACACCAAAUCGGAUAGAUUCACUCAGUCAUGUAAUGGCCCAAUGGUGUCAAGUGGCUCUCCGGCACAUGGAGAUUCAGGGACCCAGGCUCCUUCCAUGUCAUGGCUCCAUCAUCCGCUCAGGCCUGAGAAUCCUCAGCUUCCAGACACUGCAGAGCAGGGAGGAGUGCGAAGGAAGAGAGCUGAGAAGCCCCACCAUCUGCUUAAAAGUGCCAGCCUAGAAGUGACACACAUCACUUCCACUCACAUUUGAAUGGUAUAUAAUCAAGCUUGGAAGCAAGAAGGGCUGGGAAAGAUGAUCCUUCACCAGUCAAGUCCCCCCUGGUGACAACUCCGUGCUCUGGAAAGAGGGAGGAGCACGUCUUCUCACCUUACUCCACUGAGCAUGAGGAAACUGGACACUACCCGCACUGUAGGGCAUCCGUGACACUGCCCAUCUGUCUGAGCACGUCGGGGGCAUCCACGGAGCUCAGCCAGGCAGCAGAGCCCAGCAGCUCCACACCUGUUCUCGAGCACAGG
Molecule: long non-coding RNA, 811 nt
Filed under: Equus caballus (horse)
Lineage: Eukaryota; Metazoa; Chordata; Mammalia; Perissodactyla; Equidae
Description: lncRNA (ENSECAG00000056637.1)
Source: RNAcentral